UAAAAUUAAACUAAGGGCAGAUGGUGGAUGCCUUGACUGGUAGAGGCGAUGAAGGACGUACUAGGCUGCGAUAAGCCAUGGUGAGCUGCCAAGAAGCUUUGACCCAUGGAUUUCCGAAUGGGGCAACCCGGCAUAUCGAGAGGUAUGUCACCCUGCGGGGAGCGAACGAGGGGAAGUGAAACAUCUCAGUACCCUUAGGAAAAGAAAUCAAACGAGAUUCCCAAAGUAGUGGCGAGCGAAAUGGGACCAGCCCUAAACUCUGUAAGGUGUUAGUAGAAUAAGUUGGAAAGCUUGACCAUAGAGGGUGAUAGUCCCGUAUAUAAAAACUAAUUACAGAUUAUUCGAGUAGGUCGGGACACGAGAAACCCUGACUGAAUAUGGGGGGACCACCCUCCAAGGCUAAAUACUACUACCAGAUCGAUAGUGAACAAGUACCGUGAGGGAAAGGUGAAAAGAACCGCGGCAAGCGGAGUGAAAUAGAACCUGAAACCAUCUGCCUACAAUCAUUCAGAGCCCCAUGGAGCAAUCCGGGGUGAUGGACUGCCUUUUGCAUAAUGAGCCUGCGAGUUGUGGUGACUAGCGAGGUUAAGGAUACCCGAAGCCGUAGCGAAAGCGAGUCUUAAUAGGGCGUUUAGUUAGUUGCUGCAGACCCGAAACUAAGUGAUCUAUCCAUGGUCAGGUUGAAGCUGGUGUAAGAGCUAGUGGAGGACCGAACCGAUUGGCGUUUAAAAGCCACCGGAUGAACUGUGGAUAGGGGUGAAAGGCCAAUCAAACUUAGUGAUAGCUGGUUCUCUCCGAAAUAUAUUUAGGUAUAGCGUCAUGUUAGAAGUAUAAGGGGGUAGAGCACUGAUUGGGCUAGGGCGUAUACCAAUGUACCAAACCCAGUCAAACUCCGAAUACCUUAUAUGAAUUCAUGGCAGUCAGGCAUAGGGUGAUAAAAUCCUAGGUCAAAAGGGAAACAGCCCAGACUACCGACUAAGGUCCCCAAGUUCUAUUUAAGUGGAAAAGGAUGUGGAGUUGCUUAGACAACCAGGAGGUUGGCUUAGAAG
Molecule: ribosomal RNA, 1049 nt
Filed under: Sphingobacteriales bacterium
Lineage: Bacteria; Pseudomonadati; Bacteroidota; Sphingobacteriia; Sphingobacteriales
Description: partial 23S ribosomal RNA
Rfam family: Bacterial large subunit ribosomal RNA
Source: RNAcentral